AAUCAACGCUGGCGGCGUGCCUCAGACAUGCAAGUCGAACGAUUAAAGCUCGUCUUCGGAGAGUGUAUAGAGUGGCGCACGGGUGAGUAACACGUAAGUAAUCUACCUUCGAGUGGGAAGUAACGUCCGGAAACGGACGCUAAUACCGCAUAAUGCAGCGGCAUCGCAAGAUGACAGUUGUUAAAGAUUUAUCGCUUGAAGAGGAGCUUGCGGCAGAUAGCUUGUUGGUAAGGUAACGGCUUACCAAGGCUACGAUCUGUAACCGGUCUAAGAGGACGGUCGGUCACACUGACACUGAAUAACGGGU
Molecule: ribosomal RNA, 307 nt
Filed under: uncultured bacterium
Lineage: Bacteria
Description: bacterial SSU rRNA
Rfam family: Bacterial small subunit ribosomal RNA
Source: RNAcentral